AUUGAACGCUGGCGGCAGGCCUAACACAUGCAAGUCGAGCGGAAGCAGGGAGCUUGCUCCUGGAUUCAGCGGCGGACGGGUGAGUAAUGCCUAGGAAUCUGCCUCGUAGUGGUGGAUAACGUCCGGAAACGGGCGCUAAUACCGCAUACGUCUUGCGGCAGAAGGUGGGGGAUCUUCGGACCUCACGCUCUCAGAUGAGCCUAGGUCGGAUUAGCUAGUUGGUGGGGUAAAGGCCUACCAAGGCGACGAUCCGUAACUGGUCUGAGAGGAUGAUCAGUCACACUGGAACUGAGACACGGUCCAGACUCCUACGGGAGGCAGCAGUGGGGAAUAUUGGACAAUGGGCGAAAGCCUGAUGCAGCCAUGCCGCGUGUGUGAAGAAGGUCUUCGGAUUGUAAAGCACUUUAAGUUGGGAGGAAGGGCAGUAAGUUAAUACCUUGCUGUUUUGACGUUACCAACAGAAUAAGCACCGGCUAACUUCGUG
Molecule: ribosomal RNA, 484 nt
Filed under: uncultured bacterium
Lineage: Bacteria
Description: partial 16S ribosomal RNA
Rfam family: Bacterial small subunit ribosomal RNA
Source: RNAcentral